AUCCAGCCGACGAGUCCAAAAUAGGACGAAACACGCUUCCUGGAU
Molecule: non-coding RNA, 45 nt
Filed under: Schistosoma margrebowiei
Lineage: Eukaryota; Metazoa; Platyhelminthes; Trematoda; Strigeidida; Schistosomatidae
Source: RNAcentral